GUGAGGAAUUUUCCGCAAUGGGCGAAAGCCUGACGGAGCAAUGCCGCGUGAAGGAUGAAGGCCUAUGGGUUGUAAACUUCUUUUCUUAGAGAAGAAUAUUGACGGUAUCUGAGGAAUAAGCAUCGGCUAACUCUGUGCCAGCAGCCGCGGUAAGACAGAGGAUGCAAGCGUUAUCCGGAAUGAUUGGGCGUAAAGCGUCUGUAGGUGGCUUCAAAAGUCUCCUGUCAAAGAUCAGGGCUUAACCCUGGGCCGGCAGGAGAAACUCUGAGGCUAGAGUUUGGUAGGGGCAGAGGGAAUUCGCGGUGGAGCGGUGAAAUGCGUAGAGCUCGGGAGGAACACCAAAGGCGAAAGCACUCUGCUGGGCCACAACUGACACUGAGAGACUAAAGCGAGGGGAGCAAAAGGGAUUAGAUACCCUAGUAGUCC
Molecule: ribosomal RNA, 426 nt
Filed under: uncultured bacterium
Lineage: Bacteria
Description: partial 16S ribosomal RNA
Rfam family: Bacterial small subunit ribosomal RNA
Source: RNAcentral